Small nucleolar RNA from Laticauda laticaudata (blue-ringed sea krait), 134 nucleotides. Its record names the gene SNORA72. It matches the Rfam family "Small nucleolar RNA SNORA72". From Rfam's summary of the family: U72 is a member of the H/ACA class of snoRNAs. The snoRNA gene is located in intron 4 of the ribosomal L30 protein gene in human, mouse and chicken. NCBI's taxonomy places the organism in Eukaryota, Metazoa, Chordata, Lepidosauria, Squamata, Elapidae. The record is from Ensembl.
AUGCGAAUAUUCUCGCUGUUCUGGUUUGUACAGUAAUCAGAGCAGGCUAGACAUUCGCUAUAUUACCACUUUGCACUGUGUCCUCAGGACUGGUUGGUCUCCCUAGUCCUGAUUUUUACCUGCAAAUUACAUUA